This 378-nucleotide long non-coding RNA is filed under the name Amborella trichopoda. Its description in RNAcentral is "long non-coding RNA (ATRI_LNC001423)". Lineage: Eukaryota; Viridiplantae; Streptophyta; Magnoliopsida; Amborellales; Amborellaceae. The record is from RNAcentral.
UGGGGUUGUUUAGCGUGAGAAAACUCCGCUGAAAACAAGACUUGAAAUUCUUUUUCAAUAUUGAUAUUGUUUUGGGUCCUUUAGAAAUCUUGCAAAAUUGAAAAGAAUAGAAACCUACUGCAUUAGAGACUCAAAUAGUUGUUGAAGUAUAUGUUUGGUAUAAUCAAAGAAGGAACGCUAACAGAAGUGCUUUCAUAUCGAUUAUCGACCCCAGUGCUGUGAGAGACAUGGAUAAGUGGCUGGUCAAUGCUGGAUAGGAUCAGCCGAUCAGGUGUUCCCUAUAGAGACUUUGAGCUGGAGCCAAGUACAUGAAGCUAUAGCUCAUUGAGUUUUAUGCAGGCUACUAAAUGCCCAAAGAAAUCAACGACAAUAUAGCAG